Molecule: non-coding RNA, 103 nt
Organism: Helianthus annuus (common sunflower)
Lineage: Eukaryota; Viridiplantae; Streptophyta; Magnoliopsida; Asterales; Asteraceae
Source: Rfam
GUGGAUGUGAUGAUUAUUUUCCCGAAUGAUCGAAUCUGAAAUAACUGAGCGCUCAAUUCAUGUUUCUCCUUUUGGUGAAAUUCAAGCAAGAAAUCUGAUCCAU